Molecule: ribosomal RNA, 429 nt
Filed under: bacterium
Lineage: Bacteria
Description: partial 16S ribosomal RNA
Rfam family: Bacterial small subunit ribosomal RNA
Source: RNAcentral
UAGGGAAUCUUCGGCAAUGGGGGCAACCCUGACCGAGCAACGCCGCGUGAGUGAAGAAGGUUUUCGGAUCGUAAAGCUCUGUUGUAAGAGAAGAACGUGUGUGAGAGUGGAAAGUUCACACAGUGACGGUAACUUACCAGAAAGGGACGGCUAACUACGUGCCAGCAGCCGCGGUAAUACGUAGGUCCCGAGCGUUGUCCGGAUUUAUUGGGGGUAAAGCGAGCGCAGGCGGUUUAAUAAGUCUGAAGUUAAAGGCAGUGGCUUAACCAUUGUUCGCUUUGGAAACUGUUAAACUUGAGUGCAGAAGGGGAGAGUGGAAUUCCAUGUGUAGCGGUGAAAUGCGUAGAUAUAUGGAGGAACACCGGUGGCGAAAGCGGCUCUCUGGUCUGUAACUGACGCUGAGGCUCGAAAGCGUGGGGAGCAAACAGG